CCUACGGGUGGUAGCAGUGGGGAAUAUUGGACAAUGGGGGCAACCCUGAUCCAGCCAUGCCGCGUGUGUGAAGAAGGCCCUCGGGUUGUAAAGCACUUUCAGUGAGGAAGAACGCCUGGUGGUUAAUACCCAUCAGGAAAGACAUCACUCACAGAAGAAGCACCGGCUAACUCCGUGCCAGCAGCCGCGGUAAUACGGAGGGUGCGAGCGUUAAUCGGAAUUACUGGGCGUAAAGCGCGCGUAGGUGGCUUGAUAAGCCGGUUGUGAAAGCCCCGGGCUCAACCUGGGAACGGCAUCCGGAACUGUCAAGCUAGAGUGCAGGAGAGGAAGGUAGAAUUCCCGGUGUAGCGGUGAAAUGCGUAGAGAUCGGGAGGAAUACCAGUGGCGAAGGCGGCCUUCUGGACUGACACUGACACUGAGGUGCGAAAGCGUGGGUAGCAAACAGGAUUAGAUACCCUUGUAGUC
RNAcentral lists this ribosomal RNA (465 nucleotides) under Vreelandella stevensii. Its description in RNAcentral is "partial 16S ribosomal RNA". It matches the Rfam family "Bacterial small subunit ribosomal RNA", at positions 338 to 795 of the family's 1533-position model. The record is from RNAcentral. Lineage: Bacteria; Pseudomonadati; Pseudomonadota; Gammaproteobacteria; Oceanospirillales; Halomonadaceae.